This 300-nucleotide ribosomal RNA is filed under the name uncultured Oxalobacteraceae bacterium. RNAcentral describes it as "bacterial SSU rRNA". It matches the Rfam family "Bacterial small subunit ribosomal RNA", at positions 114 to 411 of the family's 1533-position model. The record is from RNAcentral. Lineage: Bacteria; Pseudomonadati; Pseudomonadota; Betaproteobacteria; Burkholderiales; Oxalobacteraceae.
UAUAUCGGAACGUACCCAAGAGUGGGGAGUAACGUAGCGAAAGUUAACGCUAAUACCGCAUACGAUCCAAGGAUGAAAGGCAGGGGACCGUUCGGGCCGUUGUGCUCCUGGAGCGGCCGAUAUCUGAUUAGCUAGUUGGUGAGGUAAAGGCUCACCAAGGCGACGAUCAGUAGCUGGUCUGAGAGGACGACCAGCCACACUGGGAACUGAGACACGGUCCAGACUCCUACGGGAGGCAGCAGUGGGGAAGUUUUGGACAAUGGGCGCAAGCCUGAUCCAGCAAUGCCGCGUGAGUGAAGA